Molecule: ribosomal RNA, 253 nt
Filed under: uncultured bacterium
Lineage: Bacteria
Description: partial 16S ribosomal RNA
Rfam family: Bacterial small subunit ribosomal RNA
Source: RNAcentral
UACGGAGGGUGCAAGCGUUAUCCGGAUUCACUGGGCUUAAAGGGUGCGUAGGCGGGCAGGUAAGUCAGUGGUGAAAUCUUCGAGCUUAACUCGGAAACUGCCGUUGAUACUAUCUGUCUUGAAUCCCGUGGAGAUGAGCGGAAUAUGUCAUGUAGCGGUGAAAUGCUUAGAUAUGACAUAGAACACCAAUUGCGAAGGCAGCUCGUUGCACGAAGAUUGACUCUGAGGCACGAAAGCGUGGGGAUCAAACAGG